UACAGAGGUCUCAAGCGUUGUUCGGAUUCAUUGGGCGUAAAGGGUGCGUAGGCGGCAAGGCAAGUCAGGUGUGAAAUCCCGGAGCUCAACUCCGGAACUGCACUUGAUACUGCCCUGCUAGAGUACUGGAGAGGAGACUGGAAUUUACGGUGUAGCAGUGAAAUGCGUAGAUAUCGUAAGGAAGACCAGUGGCGAAGGCGAGUCUCUGGACAGUUACUGACGCUGAGGCACGAAGGCCAGGGGAGCAAACGGG
RNAcentral lists this ribosomal RNA (253 nucleotides) under uncultured bacterium. RNAcentral describes it as "partial 16S ribosomal RNA". It matches the Rfam family "Bacterial small subunit ribosomal RNA", at positions 524 to 776 of the family's 1533-position model. The record is from RNAcentral.